Molecule: ribosomal RNA, 468 nt
Filed under: uncultured bacterium
Lineage: Bacteria
Description: partial 16S ribosomal RNA
Rfam family: Bacterial small subunit ribosomal RNA
Source: RNAcentral
GACGAACGCUGGCGGCGUGCUUAACACAUGCAAGUCGAACGGAAAGGCCCUGCUUUUGUGGGGUGCUCGAGUGGCGAACGGGUGAGUAACACGUGAUUAACCUGCCCUUGACUUUGGAAUAACUUCAGGAAACUGGGGCUAAUACCGGAUAGGAGCUCCUGCUGCAUGGUGGGGGUUGGAAAGUUUCGGCGGUUGGGGAUGGACUCGCGGCUUAUCAGCUUGUUGGUGGGGUAGUGGCUUACCAAGGCUUUGACGGGUAGCCGGCCUGAGAGGGUGACCGGCCACAUUGGGACUGAGAUACGGCCCAGACUCCUACGGGAGGCAGCAGUGGGGAAUAUUGCACAAUGGGCGGAAGCCUGAUGCAGCAACGCCGCGUGCGGGAUGACGGCCUUCGGGUUGUAAACCGCUUUCGCCUGUGACGAAGCGUGAGUGACGGUAAUGGGUAAAGAAGCACCGGCUAACUACGUG